RNAcentral lists this unclassified non-coding RNA (249 nucleotides) under plant metagenome. RNAcentral describes it as "partial contains small subunit ribosomal RNA, internal transcribed spacer 1, and 5.8S ribosomal RNA". The stretch from base 201 to 249 matches the Rfam family "5.8S ribosomal RNA", at positions 1 to 49 of the family's 154-position model. The record is from RNAcentral.
UCUCCGUAGGUGAACCUGCGGAGGGAUCAUUACAGAGUUCAUGCCCUACCGGGUAGAUCUCCCACCCUAUGUUAUUAUUACUUUGUUGCUUUGGCGGGCCGUUAGGCUCCGGCCCGACUACCGGCCCCGGCUGGUAAGCGCCCGCCAGAGGACCCAAAACCCUGAAUAUUAGUGUCGUCUGAGUACUAUAUAAUAGUUAAAACUUUCAACAACGGAUCUCUUGGUUCCGGCAUCGAUGAAGAACGCAGU